This 485-nucleotide ribosomal RNA is filed under the name uncultured bacterium. RNAcentral's name for it is "partial 16S ribosomal RNA". It matches the Rfam family "Bacterial small subunit ribosomal RNA", at positions 899 to 1397 of the family's 1533-position model. The record is from RNAcentral.
ACUCAAAUGAAUUGACGGGGACCCGCACAAGCGGUGGAUCAUGUGGUUUAAUAUGACGCUACGCGUAGAACCUUACCGAGGCUUGACAUCCCUGGAAUCCCCUGGAAACAGGGGAGUGCCGCAAGGAAUCAGGUGACAGGUGCUGCAUGGCCGUCGUCAGCUCGUGUCGUGAGAUGUUGGGUUAAGUCCCGCAACGAGCGCAACCCUUGUCGUAUGUUGUAUUUUUCAUGCGAGACUGCCCGGGCCAACCGGGAGGAAGGUGGGGAUGACGUCAGGUCGGCAUGGCCCUUACGCCUCGGGCCACACACGUGAUACAAUGGCCGGUACAACGCGCCGCUAAGCCGCGAGGCGGAGCUAAUCGCAUCAAAACCGGUCUCAGUUCGGAUAGGAGGCUGCAACUCGCCUCCUUGAAGCUGGAAUCGCUAGUAACCGUAGGUCAGCACACUACGGUGAAUACGUUCCCGGGUCUUGUACACACCGCCCGU